Long non-coding RNA from Malania oleifera, 1188 nucleotides. RefSeq lists it as uncharacterized. The record is from RefSeq and is a predicted model, not a curated record. The transcript is spliced from 2 exons. NCBI's taxonomy places the organism in Eukaryota, Viridiplantae, Streptophyta, Magnoliopsida, Santalales, Ximeniaceae.
AACCCACUCCUCAAAUCAAUCGUAGCCCUCCGAUUGGCAGAAAACUUUCCCAGGAGCACGGAGUCUGUGUAGACUCCACUCACAGGGUAUCAGAGCCCAGACGACGCAUCGUGGGCUGGGCUGGAAGAUGGGCUCGGGCAGGCAGACUCUGAGAGCUGCGUGGAAGGGUCAAGAGGUUUAGGUAAAGCCCACUGGGGAAUGGGGGAGAGACAGGCUGGUGACACAGACAGGGAACAGGCUGAGCAUGGAUGGAGUCAUUAACAGAGAAGGGGACUGAUGAUCAGAAACAGAGGAAGCUAGCUGUUGUUGCUCCACCCAUGCACUGCCUCUUCCCUGGCUCUCUCUCUCUCUCUCAUUUGACAUGUGUUAUAAAUGAGAAUUUUUUUUUAUUUAUGGUCAGGAAAAUUUUAUUUAUUGAUUUGAUUUAUUUUAAAUUUUUUUCUUACUUUUCUUGGUCACCAAACAUAAAAAAGCGAAAUCCUUUCCCUAUUCGGUAGAGAUACAUGUUAUUUUAAUAGAAUUAGCUUGGUUAAGAUUUGUAGGUCUAAAUUUUUUAUGCUCAAGGGUUAAAAAAUUUCUCAUUUUAAUAAUGUCCCUUGUGGAAAAAUUGGGUUGAGGGGUUUUGAUGAAAAAUACUGGUCUAUGGGUUGACAUUACUAAGAGUGAUAUUUGUGUAAUGGCUCUUUCAUUUUUAUUUUCAUUCUUUAUAUUUGUUCUAAAUCUCACGAUUCUAUUGUUUCGAAGUAUAUUUUUAAUUUUAACAGCAGGGACUUUAUUAUUGGAGUUAUUAGAUGAUGAAUUAUCUGUGAAUGAGACUAUCACGAAGAUAAAGUUAAGGCGAUCUAAGUUUGAAGGGUUUGAACGCUUUGCUCCCGAAGCUAGGGUUUUGGACAGCUCUGCACAUUCACUUGCUCAAUUUUGGACCAAAUUGUAUUGGACAUUCAUUCCAACUGAAGUCCAUUUUGCAAUUCCUCUGCUUUGAAUGAGAGAGGAAGGGAAUUCAGUAAACAUGAGAGAUUGCUUAAAGGAUGAGAAGCUGAAAGAGUUGCAGACACCCACUCUGCAUUCGCCAAGGAGAUCUAAUAUUCUGUAGAUUGUAAAAUUCUUCCUUGCUGUAAAAACCCACUUGCAGCGAGAACUAAAUGAAUGAAUAAACAAAAAAAAUGAAAAUGAAAAUUUACAAUGGUA